RNAcentral lists this ribosomal RNA (250 nucleotides) under uncultured bacterium. RNAcentral's name for it is "partial 16S ribosomal RNA". It matches the Rfam family "Bacterial small subunit ribosomal RNA", at positions 57 to 305 of the family's 1533-position model. The record is from RNAcentral.
GCAAGUCGAACGGAAACGAUGUGAGCUUGCUCCCAGGCGUCGAGUGGCGGACGGGUGAGUAACACAUAGGAAUCUGCCCAGUAGCGGGGGACAACUUGUGGAAACUCAAGCUAAUACCGCAUACGCCCUACGGGGGAAAGCGGGGGACCUUCGGGCCUCGCACGAUUGGAGGAGCCUAUGUCAGAUUAGCUUGUUGGUGGGGUAAUGGCCGACCAAGGCGACGAUCUGUAGCUGGUCUGAGAGGACGAGC